CCAAUAACAUCAAAGGUAUUGGCUCUGGUUGUUUGAGAGUAAUAUAUUUUCUUGAAAAGCUUUCCAUCCUUUUCUAGUGUUUAUUUGGCUAAAAAUAUUUUACUAAUAUAAAAUUAAUUACAAAACACGGGAAAAAGAAGCCCUUAAUUUUGGAAAAUGUCUUACCGUUUCUAAUUCGGUAAGACAUUUUCCGAAAAAUUAGAAGCCGGCAUCGAUUUUCUGCUUCCCCUUCCCCCAUCCUUGACACCUGAUCUUCUGCUUGCCGUCAGCCAACACCGAUUCUCAACACCAGACACCGGCGUUCAUCAAAUCUUUUCCCCAUCUUUGCCUUUCGUUGUCAAAAUCUGCACUGGCGUUCAUCUUCCUCUCUCGAAGGCUGCUGAAAAGAAUCAAAGUACUAAACCAACUAGCAUCGUUUGUGCUGAUUGCGAAGGAAAUGGUAACGAAAAUUUUAGGUGCAAAACAAUGUUCUCAAUGCAAAGGAACUGCGUUUAAUUCAGUUGAUCACUUCAAUGGACAAUUUAAAGCUGGUGGGCUGUGUUGGCUUUGCAGUUGUAGAAACUGGCACAUUCUUGGUUCCAAAGAAAGUGCUAAAGUCAUUCAAGGAUAUAGGCAAUGGUGAUGCACUCAUGCUUUAAUCUUCCUGCAACCAUGGAUUAGCAUCAAAAUUCUUGGAAGUGAUUUUAUUUCAGUGAAUCGGGGAAAAGGGAGAUUUUAUGUGGGAAUUGUAAUGGGUGGAUUUAUGAGCACCUUGGAUGACUGAUAUAAAAGCUACAAUUUUGUCUCACCAGAGGAGAUUUACCAUAACAAGCUUUUUAAUCUCGCCCUGUUUCUUGGAUUUUGGCAUGCACAAGUUUGUUAUAUACUUAGUAAAAAAAAAGGGAACAACCUUUUUAUAAUUAUUCAAUCUUUGUUUUUUUGUAUUUUUAUGACACAACUAGAAAUAAUUUAUUUGCUUUGCUUGUUUUCAAUGUAUGACGGUUAAUAUUCUAGCUUAAUAAUUAAGUAUUGUUAUAUAUUUAA
Long non-coding RNA from Gossypium raimondii (Peruvian cotton), 1023 nucleotides. RefSeq lists it as uncharacterized. The record is from RefSeq and is a predicted model, not a curated record. The transcript has 5 exons. NCBI's taxonomy places the organism in Eukaryota, Viridiplantae, Streptophyta, Magnoliopsida, Malvales, Malvaceae.